Molecule: unclassified non-coding RNA, 2994 nt
Filed under: Apis dorsata (giant honeybee)
Lineage: Eukaryota; Metazoa; Arthropoda; Insecta; Hymenoptera; Apidae
Description: poly(A) polymerase type 3, transcript variant X1
Source: RNAcentral
CUUUUCCAUGAUCACACUGAUCCGUCAGAGAACGCCAUGUUUAUACUGUAGGUGGUUUGGUGCGGGUCUACAUGUUGUCUGUUAUUUUCAAGUGAUACGUUUACUUAUUUAUUUAUAUCGUAGUAUAAAGUAUCCUGUGCGUGAAGUAGAUUUCAAUCGAUAUUGUGACCGAUUAAUUUUCAUUGGCGGUACAUGGAAUAAUUUUGUAGACGUGAACGUUUUGGUGACUUAUGGACCUACGUUUCUCGGAAUUCUUUUGCUACUUCAUAAAUUGUUUACAAGUUGUUCAUACUGCUUUGCGGCUAAGCAGAAUCCUCAGAACGUGCUAUUUGCGCUAGGAAUACAAUUUCCUUUUCAGGAAUCAACUGCAAACGUUGGAUGAACGUGAUGCAUCUUUACUAGAAGCAUUUGCGCGUUUUAUAACCUGACUACACGUCCAAAGUUUCUUCUCUUUUAACAUGUUAUUAAAUCUUUGACGAAGUAUUAAGCGAUCUGGAACAAACAAAUGAAUUUCAAGAUGUGGUCAUCACAAGGUAACAAUUCUAAUUCAAAUAAUUCAUCCAAAGAAGAAAAAAAUCUGCGUACACUGGGUAUGACAUCUGCUAUUAGUGUAGCAGAACCAAAGCCCAGUGAUUUUACUAGAACAAAUGAAUUAAAAGAAGCAUUAAAGCCUUACAAUGUGUUUGAAUCAGAAGAAGAAUUAAAUCAUAGGAUGGAAAUUUUAAGUAAAUUAAAUGCAUUAGUAAAACAAUGGAUAAGGGAUACAAGUGUUGCCAGAAAUAUGCCACCCAAUGUAGCCGAACAGGUUGGCGGUAAAAUAUAUACUUUUGGUUCAUACAGGUUAGGGGUACACCACAAAGGUGCUGAUAUAGAUGCCUUAUGUGUAGUACCACGUCAUAUUUAUCGGUCAGAUUAUUUUACAUCUUUCUUCGAGUUAUUAAAAAUGCAAGAAGAAGUUACCGAUUUAAGGGCAGUAGAGGAAGCAUUUGUGCCAGUAAUAAAAAUGAAUUUUGAUGGCAUAGAAAUUGAUAUGUUGUUUGCUAAACUGGCUCUAAAAGAAAUUCCGGAUUCAAUGGAUCUCAGAGAUGAUAUGUUAUUAAAAAAUCUUGAUCAAAAAUGCGUUAGAAGUCUUAAUGGUUGCAGAGUUACAGAUGAGAUACUGCGUUUAGUACCUAAUAUAGAAAAUUUUAGAUUGGCCCUAAGAGCCAUUAAAUUAUGGGCAAAACGACAUGGCAUAUAUAGUAAUGUAUUAGGAUAUUUAGGUGGUGUAUCAUGGGCUAUGCUAGUAGCAAGAACGUGCCAACUUUAUCCUAAUGCUGUUGCAGCAACAUUAAUAGAAAAAUUUUUCCUUGUAUUUUCUCAAUGGAAAUGGCCACAGCCAGUCCUUUUAAAGCAACCUGACAAUGUUAAUUUAGGAUUUCCUGUUUGGGAUCCAAGAGUGAAUAUAUCGGACAGAUAUCAUUUAAUGCCAAUAAUUACGCCUGCAUAUCCUCAACAAAAUUCUACCUUUAACGUUUCGGUAUCAACGAGAACCAUUAUGCAAGAAGCAUUUGAAAACGGUCUUUCAAUAACGGAAGAGAUUAUUAUGGGAAAGGCAACUUGGGAUAAAUUAUUUGAACCUCCAAAUUUCUUUGGAAAAUACAAACAUUAUAUUGUAUUAUUAGCAAGAAGCUUAACUGCUGAAGAUCAGCUUGAAUGGUGUGGACUUGUCGAAUCAAAAAUACGACACUUAAUAGGUACACUGGAAAGGAAUCCUCACAUCACAUUGGCACAUGUAAAUCCGGAGGCGUUUCCACCAUUAGAACCAGAACCAGAAAGACACUGCUCUAUGUGGUUCAUAGGCUUGCUUUUUGCCAAAAGCGAAAAUUUAAACGUUGAUCUAACGUAUGAUAUAAAAUCUUUUGUAGAUUCAAUUCUGAGACAGGCGGAACAAUUAAGCAUGUUGAAAGAAGGGAUGUGGAUUGAAGUAAAACACGUGAAAAAGAGGGAUCUGCACACUUAUGUAUCUCCUAGUUUGCUUAAACGAGAAAGAAAGGUUUCCGGUACUGUACAUAAAAACGGAAAUAUUGCUGGAAACGGUAAUAGUGGUAGCGUUUCGCCACGAAAUCCAGGGAAUACAACGAACAGAAAGAGAUUAUCCGAUCAAAGUCAAGAUGCAAGUAUGAAAAAGCGAAAAGUCAACGAUGGCGAACAGCCAUCAGUGACACACGUAGCAUGGAGAAGAUGGAUCACUAGUUGUCCAGUCUUGCGGAGAAGAUAGCAAUUCCGGAUUCAGCUUGGAUGAAUAUAAACAAACAUUAUCAGCUGCUAAGGAUGAAGGGCCUACUGGUGCAUCAACAGUAGCACAGGAAGGAUAUGUUUGCACUUGACCGCUACAGGAGUACUACCUCACAUCUAUCCACAGAUGCUCCUCUGGGCCAUCUAGACUGUAAUCACUUCUCAUGCAACCAUCCACUGCCCACUGUAAGUCCCCCGUUUCGUAAAAACAAAGCAACGUCAUGCGUUGGAGAGAACUACCCGUUGGAGUCAAUCGAUGCACGACUGUGUGUGACGGACACUCUAAUUUUAGUAUUUAUCAACAUCUACAGUCAAUGGGAACAACUAUGUUAUUGAAUAAUUGUGCCAGUGUCUGUGAUGUUAUUUUUUUAUCGUAAAUCGCGUUAGUAAUUUUGAAAAGUUACGAUCGAAAAACUAUAGAUAGCAAAGCUUCAAAACCAUCACUAUGUGAAUCUAAGAUUCAUAAUUUUAUUUUUAUAUUUCAUUUUGUACAUAUCACUUAUGAUCAUUUUUAUCCACGAAAUUAUUAAAAAAGAAAAAAAAAGAGAAAUAAGAAAAAAAAGAUGAUAAGAACAUGGUGUCGGGUGUAAAAUACAGUUCGAUGUUGUCGCGUUAAAAUGUGAAUAGACAACGAUAUUUUGAUUAAAUGCUUGUAUUAGGAUUUUCAGUCAAAUGAAAAAAAAAAAAAAAAAAAAAGGAAGGAAAAAAAAAAAAAAA